Molecule: ribosomal RNA, 481 nt
Filed under: uncultured bacterium
Lineage: Bacteria
Description: partial 16S ribosomal RNA
Rfam family: Bacterial small subunit ribosomal RNA
Source: RNAcentral
UUGAACGCUGGCGGCAUGCCUUACACAUGCAAGUCGAACGGUAACGGGCCUUCGGGUGCCGACGAGUGGCGACCGGGUGAGUAAUACAUCGGAACGUGCCCGAUCGUGGGGGAUAACGAGGCGAAAGCUUUGCUAAUACCGCAUACGAUCUACGGAUGAAAGCAGGGGACCGCAAGGCCUUGCGCGGACGGAGCGGCCGAUGGCAGAUUAGGUAGUUGGUGGGAUAAAAGCUUACCAAGCCGACGAUCUGUAGCUGGUCUGAGAGGAUGAUCAGCCACACUGGGACUGAGACACGGCCCAGACUCCUACGGGAGGCAGCAGUGGGGAAUUUUGGACAAUGGGCGCAAGCCUGAUCCAGCCAUGCCGCGUGCAGGAUGAAGGCCUUCGGGUUGUAAACUGCUUUUGUACGGAACGAAAAGCCUUCUUUUAAUACAGGAGGGUCAUGACGGUACCGUAAGAAUAAGCACCGGCUAACUACGUG